UACGUAGGGUCCGAGCGUUGUCCGGAAUUAUUGGGCGUAAAGGGCUCGUAGGCGGUCUGUUGCGUCGGGAGUGAAAACUUACAGCUUAACUGUGAGCGUGCUUCCGAUACGGGCAGACUUGAGGUAUUCAGGGGAGAUCGGAAUUCCUGGUGUAGCGGUGAAAUGCGCAGAUAUCAGGAGGAACACCGGUGGCGAAGGCGGAUCUCUGGGCCUUACCUGACGCUCAGGCGCGAAAGCUAGGGGAGCGAACUGG
RNAcentral lists this ribosomal RNA (253 nucleotides) under uncultured bacterium. RNAcentral describes it as "partial 16S ribosomal RNA". It matches the Rfam family "Bacterial small subunit ribosomal RNA", at positions 524 to 776 of the family's 1533-position model. The record is from RNAcentral.